Non-coding RNA from Pelobates cultripes (western spadefoot toad), 204 nucleotides. NCBI's taxonomy places the organism in Eukaryota, Metazoa, Chordata, Amphibia, Anura, Pelobatidae. The record is from the annotation of a GenBank genome assembly.
GUAUAACUCGUUCUGCUGAUUUGUGCUACAAUGUAAUUACAGGACCCACCAUUGUGACAUGCUAAAAGAACUAAACUGGCUGUCGCUGGAAUCCAGAUGCACCCUUCAUCUUUCCAGCCUUGUGUUUAAGAGCUUUUCUGGGAAGCACCUACCCUACCUGAGCAGAAUACUCUCCUCAGCUGUUCCCACCUCCUAUAACCUCCG